GAAAGAAUUGAUGAACCAUUCGUCGUGGGUCCCACCCGCUGUGCAGGGAUACCCCAUCUAGUGUUAACAAGCUUUGAUGCAUGAAAAAAUUCUAAAACAAUGCUUGAACAAGUAAUUUUGGAUAUAGCCCAAAUCACACAAAUGCCCGAAAAAGUACUUAAAGGUCAAAAUUUGGGGUCGACAAAAAGUCAAUGGAAAAGUUUGUUUGUCCUGCUUCUUUCAUCAGAGGGCUCUAUUUGGGCUUUCCGAAAAGGUAUCACAUGACAAA
RNAcentral lists this small RNA (268 nucleotides) under Arabidopsis thaliana (thale cress). Its description in RNAcentral is "ATSL275400". Lineage: Eukaryota; Viridiplantae; Streptophyta; Magnoliopsida; Brassicales; Brassicaceae. The record is from RNAcentral.